RNAcentral lists this transfer RNA (68 nucleotides) under Prevotella sp. Its description in RNAcentral is "tRNA-Val". It matches the Rfam family "tRNA". From Rfam's summary of the family: Transfer RNA (tRNA) molecules are approximately 80 nucleotides in length. Their secondary structure includes four short double-helical elements and three loops (D, anti-codon, and T loops). The record is from RNAcentral. Lineage: Bacteria; Pseudomonadati; Bacteroidota; Bacteroidia; Bacteroidales; Prevotellaceae.
GCGGAAGUAGCUCAAAUGAAAGAGCAUCGGUCACGUCGAGGUUGCAGGUUUAAGUCCUGUCUUCUGCA